UGUAACCACCAUAGGGAUAAGAAGCCCGGAAACUUCUCCGAAAAGGACAUCAGGACCUGCCAGGUCAGAAAGUUCACAUUACAGCAUCCUGAUAGGGAUGGGGUGGUGCACCUGUCUCUUGCGUCCUGACCCAGAACCCAGCCAGUUCUUGAUUCUCCUGCAUGCUUAACAGAAUCUAGCUCAUACAAAAAUUUUCCACCAAUAAGAACUUUGUGAAUCAAUGAGUGAAUUAUAAUCUUCAUUGGAAUGCUAUCUGGAUACAACAUGGAGGGGCUGAAUAGCGAACCCACAUCCUGGUGUGCUGUGGGGAUAACCUAAGACCGUUUGAUCUCCCACCAGGACAUCUCAGAGACAUUUCCUAUUAUCUGACUCCCUCAAGGGCAAAGCUACAUUGCAUGCUCCUCAGGAAGUCUUGGUAGCCAUCUAUCACUCCAGCAGAUUUGACGCCUUGUCCAUCAAUACUCGCGGCCAACACCCACUGCUUUCCUCCAUCUUUCACCAAAGACGGAUUAAUAUUUUUGAGCGGCUCUCAUAUGGCUGGAAUUGUGACAAGGUACUUUACAAAAUUAAAAGAUAUUAAUUCUACCCAC
Molecule: long non-coding RNA, 590 nt
Organism: Mesocricetus auratus (golden hamster)
Lineage: Eukaryota; Metazoa; Chordata; Mammalia; Rodentia; Cricetidae
Exons: 2
Source: RefSeq, a predicted model, not a curated record